UUUAAUGGCGAGUUACAGUUUUAGUAAACAUUGCCACCUAAUUAGUGGAUAUGCAAUUUUCUUUUUUUAAUCUUAUAGUUUAAUCUUUAUUUAUACAAACAAUAUUUAUAUUGUUUGAUGCUAAUUUUGAAUGAAAAAGAUUGACUGAACUGAAAAAAUAUGUGCUUGCAAAGAUAAUAUGAAUAUAAUAUUUUUAAUGUUUAGUCUUUCUUCAACAUUUGUUAUAGAGAUGUAUGUCUAUAUACAAAUGUGAUCCCUUAUAUUGAAAAAGUCCUGUUGCGAAAAAAAAAGUCAAUAAGUAAAAUAAGCAUUGCUUACUAAUCAGAUUCAUUUGGUCAUAUUUAAAUAGGUUUGACUUUUAAUUUAAAUCAAGCAUUGUUCACUCUUCCUGCUAAACGAGUUUUGGUCAUGAGGUUUGGGAAGGAAGGUUUUGUUUUGUUUUUCUGUCAGCAUUUCCUUCUACUUGUUGCUUAAUUCGGUCAAGUAACACCUCUCUACUCAGAACAGGGAUAAAGAAUAGUGCCAUCAAAGUCAGAUGUCACAGAGCUGGAGAAUGUAGAUAUGAUGGCAGAGGACACUGAUGUUAAGGUGAAAGUAAUGAACAGACAGAGCAUAGACACUACUGCUAACUUCAGUUCCGAGGACUCAAGAUUUAAAUGUUGGUGUCAUGAUGUUUUCGAUCCAAACCGAAGACCAGAGAAAUUUAGUCCAUGACUGGAUGAGACAAUGUUAUCUAAAAGAAUCUCUAUCCUCUCCAUUAAGUCAGUGGACUCAGGAUAUGCUUCAAGAAAAUGCACAGGCAUUUUCUUAAACUCUGAAUGUGAAUAAUAGAAUAAAAAAAUGAUGCCACUACUACAGUGUAACUGUCCACUCCAGGUGCCACUCCAAAAUAUCUGAACUAUGACCGCCAUGAAUGGGUUUGUGAUUCAGUCAGAAUCAUUUGAAAAGAUCAUAACACACUGAAAUGAUAUUCACCUAUGAAUAUCCACGAUAUGACUAUGAAUAUCCUUGAAGUUAUCUUUACCAUCGAUCUGCUAAGCAUUAUAAUGUUUGAAAUGAUAUUAAAGUUGUAAAUCUAAAUAUCUAAAAAGGUAUGGUAUCACUUUCUAAGAAACCCGUAUUUAUAAUGCAUUAGGACUCUUAAGGCAUUAUAAUGAAUUAAUAAUGCAUUAUUGAAAAAAAAAACGUAUAAUAUGUUGUAUCAUCUCAUAAAUAAUCAUAAGAACUUUUUUAAUGUAUUAUACAGUACUUAUUUGUGGUUAUAGCUUUUAAGAGUAUUAUGAUUUAGAACACACAACAAAGAUGUUGCAUCCACAUGAAUUACAAUGAAUUAUAUUUCCCAUAAUGUAUUAUAAGUCUCAUAUCUUGCCAUUGUUUAAGAUCGGCACAGUAAUUCAAUACAUCUACUUAGUGU
This is a long non-coding RNA of Carassius auratus (goldfish), 1414 nucleotides long. RefSeq lists it as uncharacterized. The transcript has 5 exons. The record is from RefSeq and is a predicted model, not a curated record. NCBI's taxonomy places the organism in Eukaryota, Metazoa, Chordata, Actinopteri, Cypriniformes, Cyprinidae.